Molecule: ribosomal RNA, 208 nt
Filed under: Pseudo-nitzschia fraudulenta
Lineage: Eukaryota; Bacillariophyta; Bacillariophyceae; Bacillariales; Bacillariaceae
Description: partial Bacterial small subunit ribosomal RNA
Rfam family: Bacterial small subunit ribosomal RNA
Source: RNAcentral
GGGGACGACGUCAAGUCAUCACGGCCCUUACGUCCUGGGCCACACACGUGCUACAAUGGUGGAUACAGAGGGCAGCUACCCCGCGAGGGGAUGCGAAUCUCGAAAGUCCAUCUCAGUUCGGAUUGGAGUCUGCAACUCGACUCCAUGAAGUUGGAAUCGCUAGUAAUCGCGUAUCAGCUACGACGCGGUGAAUACGUUCCUGAGCCUU